UAGCAGCGCUACCAUUUUCGCAAACGGAAUAAUUUAGAACUAAAACAGCGACAAUUUUAUAGGGAGAUUUUUCUUUUAUUUUCUUUUUGGAGUUUCCUCCAUCAGAAUCGAUUUUACAUAUAUAUAUGCCCUGGUAUGAGAAGGGCAUAAAAUUCGAUGAACGAAUGAUAGCGUUAUGUUUUUGAGCGCAAUCUAUUCUGCGCACCUUUCACCGUGCCCUGCCACCAACAGCGUACACAAGCGUACGGGCGCGCACGCCGCAUCCUGCUGCUCCCUGGUUGCGCACGUUUUACUGUUCAGGCGUAGUAUUGAGACGUACAUAGUGUAUGAUGCGGGGCAACAUACACCUGUUUAGACAUAAAGAUUAAACUCCAUUCGUGCGUCGGAGCUGACACACAUUUUGUUUGUUCAUUGCGCUAUUGUACACAAUAGAUCAACCGCAUGGGCUCGGUGAACUAUACUUCCUGUGGCAGAAGGGGGAGUCCCAUUCUCUGUUGGCCACAACUGGUACAGAUGCCACUGUGGCCAUCCAUGAUCGCUCUGGACAACUACUGGAAAGAAUAAAGCUACCAGGUCUCUGCUCUGGCAUGGAAUGGGACAACGAUGGGGAUUACUUAGCAAUAAUAACACCUAAUAGUAACUCAGUGCUCCUAUGGGAAUGCCAUGCCAACAAACGGGUGAACAUAGAAACAGGGCUGCGUGAACCUCCGUCAUGUUUGGCAUGGUCAUAUGGAGAGCCUUUAUUGGCUGUUGGUACACAGAAAGGAAAUUUAGCACUUUAUAAUCAUCACACUACCAAAAGGAUUCCCAUAUUAGGCAAACACACAAAGAAGAUCACUUGCGCCGCGUGGAACAGAGACAGCAUAUUGAUACUGGCGUCUGAUGAUAAGAACCUGUCCAUCAACAACUCUGAUGGAGAUACCCUGCGGAUGAUCACCUUGCGUGACGUCCCCAACGAUCUACAGUUCUCUGAAAUGAAAACUGAUGAGAGAGUUGCUGGUGAGAAUACUAUAAGCCUCGUAGUGGCGAAACGGACUCUGUACCUAUACAACCUCCUCAACCCGGAGAACCCCAUAGAGCUCGCGUUCCAGCAGCGGUACGGUACGAUAGUGUCCUACAAAUGGUAUGGGGACGGGUACAUUCUCAUCGGCUUCAGUGCUGGAUACAUCAUAUCCAUAUCUACUCAUAUAAAGGAGGUUGGCGAAGAACUGUUUCAAGUUAAGAAUCACAAGGACAAUUUGACAGAUAUCGCAGUUUUUAACGGACAAGCAGCCUCCUGUGGCGAUGGACAACUGAAGCUGAUAUCGGUGUGGAACGCGGGCCAGGUGAGCGGCUCGGUGUCGCCGGCGGGCGGCGCCGAGCGCUGUGCCUGGAGCGCGGACGGGCGCCUGCUGGCGGCGGCGGGGCGCGGCACGCUCAGCGCGUACGUCACGCGUCUGCCGCCGCUGUGCGCCGCGCACGGCACGCGCGCCGUCGCGCUGUCCAGCCUGGCCGAGCUCACGCUGUACCAGUGCAUCGCCGUGCCCGACCAGCCGCAGCACGUCAGCACGUCGGAGCCAACGGCGUUGGCGACGUACAACCUGCCGACGGAGCCCAGCGUGGUAGCGUUGGGCGCGUCGCACGUGUGCGCCGUGAGCGGGCAGGCGGGCGCGUUCUACCCGCUGGGCGGCGGGCCCGCGCUGCGCCGGCACUACCCCGCGCCCGUGGACGCGCUGCGCGUGUCGGGGGACUACGCCGCCGUGCUGUACCAGGGCCGGGCUAUGCUGCAUUCCAUCGAAACCCCUGAUCCAGCAGAACCGGAACGCGAGGCGAUGUUGUUCCCCGAGCCGCACAUGCAGGGAGCGAAGAUAGUCGACAUCCACCUCACCAGCGACUUCUUUAUAUUCGUCACUGAACAAGGGCACAUCGAGUACUUCGGGCUGGAGGAGUGGCGCAGCUGCUCGCGCUACCGGCACGCGUGCGGCGUGCGCGCGCUGCACUGCGACAUCAGCGGCGCGCGCGCGCUGCUGCUGGACGAGCGGCGGCGCGCGCACGUGUACGCCGCGCCCGCCGCCGAGCUGUGCGCGCUGCCCGACCAGCGAGACGUGAAGAGCGCGAUAUGGGACAUUUGCCUGUCGGACCGGAACGUGUUCUGCGUGUACACGGGCGAGGCGCUCCACACGUACUACUACGCGCCCACGUCCGCGGCCGGCGCGCACGUCGACUACGUGGCGACCACCAGCGUGCUGCCCGACCACAUACCGCUCAUACUGUUCUCUGGUGACGUGUACUGCGCUGCCAGUGGCGGCAGUGUAAUCAAGAUAGCUCUCGAUUCGCACAACACGGGAGGUCUGGCAGACGCCGAUACGGAGAAGCGUCUGGCCAACCAGCGGCAGCACAUCGAGAAGCUGCUUCUGCUGCGGCGCUUCCCCGAAGCGUGGCUGUUCUGUGAUGCCGUCGACGAGCCCGACAUGUGGAGGAAGCUCGGCGAGGCGGCCAUCUCGGAACUUAAUGUGGAGUUUGCAAUUCGAGUAUACACGAGAUUGAGCGACGUCGCCAUGGUGUGGGCUCUGGAAGACGCCUCGCAUAUCGAAGAGUUGCCUGUACUGAGCGGCAUGCUGUGCGCCUGCCUGGGCAAGGGCGAGGCGGCGGCGCGCUGGCUGGAGAGCGGCGCCAGCAUGCAGGCGCUGGAGCUGCACGCGGCGCGCGGCGACUGGGCGCGCGCCGCCGCCGUCGCCGCCAGCGCGUGCCCGGCGCGCGCGCCCGCCAUCACGCUGCACCGCGCCUCGCACCUGGAGCUCACAGCCGAUUAUCACGAAGCGCUGGCUAAUUACGAGAAAAGUAUAAUAACAGAAAACGUUGAAGAUCCAAAAGUUAAAGAGCACAACGCUAAAUGCGAAGCUGGCAUCGCACGCAUGUCCAUCAGAUGCGGUGACGUCAUGCGAGGGGUCACCACCGCCAUGAAGUACUCCCAAGAUGUGAACCUCUUAAAGGAUUGUGCACAAUUAUUGGAAGAGGAAAAACAGUACAGCCACGCAGCGGCGCUGUACGAUCACGCUGGAAACACAGAAAAGGCUGCAUCUUUAUACAUAAAACUGAAGUCAUGGUUAAAAGUAGAAGCCUUAAUACCGAAAAUAAACUCCCCGAGUAUCCAUCUCCAGUACGCAAAAGCUAAAGAGGCAGAAGGCAGAUACAGCGAUGCCCUAAAAUCAUACUUAAAGGCCCAAGAUUUCGAAUCGGCUAUUCGAUUGAAUUUAGAUAAAUUAGACGAUAUCGAUGAGGCAGUCACUUUGGUGCAAGAAACUAAGUCCGUUCUGGGCGCGAAAAUGGUCGCAAAUUACUUCCAGAACAGCGAUGAUCCCACUUCUGCGAUAAAAUUUUUGGUAAUGUCUCUGUGUUACGACGAGGCGUUCCAACUUGCGAGGAAAAACGGCAAAUUGUAUCUGUACGGGGAGAUUUUGAUACAGACUUCCCAAGCUAGGCCGGAGGACUUUAAAAGUUUAGCGUUGCACUUUGAAGGGGAGAACAAUUAUUUACUGGCCGGCAAGUUUUACUUUCACGCGGGGGAGUACAAUAAGGCCAUGACGUAUUUGCUGAAGGCGGGCAGUUCUGAAGCAGAGGAGAGUGAGGCGAUCACUAUAGCAAUAGAUGCGGCGGCGGCAAGUGAUGAUGAACGACUAACUAGAAGAUUGAUAGAAUUCCUCUUGGGGGAGACGGACGGCAAUCCGCGUGAUCCACGCCAUUUGUUUCGACUGUACAUGGCCAAGAAACAGUUCAUGGAAGCGGCCAAAACAGCGGUGAUAAUAGCGGGCGCGGAGUGCGCGGCAGGGCGUUACCGCGAGGCACGCGACGUGGCGCGCGGUCUGUGCGCGGCGCUGCGUGCGCGCGGCGUGCCCGUGCCGCGGGACCUGAUGCGUGCCGCCGUGCUGCUGCACUCCUACAUACUGGUGCGUACCCACGUGCGGCGCGGGCGGCACGACCUCGCCGCGCGCCUGCUCCUGCGCGCCGCCGCUGAGGUCGCCUUCUUCCCCACGCAACAACAUCAAGUGUCGAUCCUGACGUCGGCGGUGAUCGAGUGCGGGCGCGCAGGGCUUCGCCACCAGGCGCUCCAGUGGGCGCGCGCGCUCAUGACGCCGGAGUACCGGGAACAGAUCGAUCCUAAAUACGUGAAGAAGAUCGAGUCCGUGGUGCGCCACCCGCCGCGCGACGCCGCGCCGCCCGAGCGCACGGCGCCGUGCCCGCAGUGCGGCGCCGAGCUGCCCGUGGCCGAGCUCCAGUGCGCGCGCUGCGAGGCCGAGGUGCCCUUCUGCCUCGCCACGGUAACGUCUGCCAGUACUACACAUACAGCUGUUCCCACUGUCGCGCGCCGCCCGAGCGCACGGCGCCGUGCCCGCAGUGCGGCGCCGAGCUGCCCGUGGCCGAGCUCCAGUGCGCGCGCUGCGAGGCCGAGGUGCCCUUCUGCCUCGCCACGGUAACGUCUGCCAGCACUACACAUACAGCUGUUCCCACUGUCGCGCGCCGCCCAAGCGCACGGCGCCGUGCCCGCAGUGCGGCGCCGAGCUGCCCGUGGCCGAGCUCCAGUGCGCGCGCUGCGAGGCCGAGGUGCCCUUCUGCCUCGCCACGGGUCUGCACAUAGUGAAGGACGACUUGACCGCGUGCCCUGAAUGUGAUUUUCCCGCCAUUUUGUCCGAAUUCAAAGAAAUGCUACGCGAGGAAGGGAAAUGUCCGAUGUGUGGCGAAAACGUGGAUUACAGGAGACUUGUUAAAAUAGAUGAUGUGAGUUUAUAUUUGGACUUUAGACCAAGUGAAUAAGGUUCAUAUUGGAAUGGAUCAUCGAAAAUUUGUUAGAAUUUAUGAUGCGGCUUUAGAUUUACACUUUAUGCCUAGUUGAUAAGGUUCAUAUUGAAAUAAAUUUAAGUGUAACCAAUGUGAUUACAAUCCGUCCUUUUAGAUAAGUGUAAUAGUUAAUAUUGCCUUUAUUUAAGUCUUUAUGGAAGUUACUCAAAGCUUAGCUCAGACCAAUUACCCCUUAUUAGACCUGCCUUGCUAGAGGUUGCUUCUCUGACAAAGCUAUAUGAUCAUGAUCUAAAUGCGUCUGUAGAAUUUGUGUUUGAUUGUGUUAAAAUUACACGUGUUUGUGUAUUAAGAUUUAAAAUUUAUAGUUGUGUAUGCUGUAAGGAGACAGCAUAUAUUUAUUGGUGUUAAAUAGUUUUGAUGUGUGAGUUUACCACGUCCCCCUUAAAAAUAUUCAGACAAUUUAUUUGGUGAAUUUGGGUACGAUUCAAGUCCAAUAGAAAGGUAAUUGGUCUGAGUUUUGGAUAAACAUGAAAUGUUCUUCAAAUGGUUGAUGAAAUAUUUUAUUUAAUAAAUAUUGGUUUUUAAAAUUA
Molecule: RNA transcript, 5366 nt
Organism: Bicyclus anynana (squinting bush brown)
Lineage: Eukaryota; Metazoa; Arthropoda; Insecta; Lepidoptera; Nymphalidae
Gene: Oseg6
Gene name: WD repeat-containing protein 19
Exons: 21
Source: RefSeq, a predicted model, not a curated record